Molecule: transfer RNA, 83 nt
Filed under: Pyramimonas parkeae
Lineage: Eukaryota; Viridiplantae; Chlorophyta; Pyramimonadophyceae; Pyramimonadales; Pyramimonadaceae
Description: tRNA-Ser
Rfam family: tRNA
About the family: Transfer RNA (tRNA) molecules are approximately 80 nucleotides in length.
Source: RNAcentral
GGAUGGGUGUCUGAGUGGUUUAAAGUUUCAGUUUUGAAAACUGAUGUACGAAAGUACCGUGGGUUCGAAUCCCACUUCAUCCG